RNAcentral lists this ribosomal RNA (351 nucleotides) under Triticum aestivum (bread wheat). Its description in RNAcentral is "partial small subunit ribosomal RNA". The record is from RNAcentral. Lineage: Eukaryota; Viridiplantae; Streptophyta; Magnoliopsida; Poales; Poaceae.
AUGGAGAACCACACCAAAGCCUCCAGGAAGGACCAUUUAAAAAGCGGAAGAUAUCCACCUUUGCACUUGAAACACUAUCUGCUAUUGCGCUCAUUGUUCUGCCCUGAUGCUUGCCUGUGUUUUAGGUCAUCUACCAAGUUUGAUAGUGGCACUGGAUGGCCGUCAUAUUACCAGCCGGUUGGCGACAAUGUGAAAAGCAAGCUUGAUAUGUCGAUCUUCUUCAUGCCCCGGACCGAGUCCCUGUGCGCCGUCUGCGACGCUCAUCUGGGCCACGGUUUUGACGACGGGCCACCGCCGACGGGGAAGAGAUACUGCAUCAACAGUGCGUCUCUGAAGUUUAAGCCCCAGUAG